AGCUUUGUACAGUGGCAGUAUCAUAGCCAAUGAGGUUUAUCCGAAGCGCAAUUAUUGCUAAUUGAAAACUUUUCCUAAUACCCCGCCGUGAUGACUUGCGCAAUACAGUCGGCACUGGCAAUUUUUGACAGUCUCUACAGAGA
Molecule: small nuclear RNA, 143 nt
Filed under: Cebus imitator (Panamanian white-faced capuchin)
Lineage: Eukaryota; Metazoa; Chordata; Mammalia; Primates; Cebidae
Description: U4 spliceosomal RNA (ENSCCAG00000008557.1)
Rfam family: U4 spliceosomal RNA
About the family: U4 small nuclear RNA (U4 snRNA) is a component of the major U2-dependent spliceosome. The structure of U4 snRNA from yeast and human has been reported. U4 snRNA presents a k-turn RNA motif in the 5p-SL related to recognition of Snu13 protein.
Source: Rfam by way of RNAcentral